CAAGUAAAACAAAAUCUGUAGGCUUCAAAAGUGGCCAGGUGUAAGCUUUAUUUGGCCAGAAUCAAGUGUUGCUGCUGUCUGUCUCCAGUUUGAGAGCAUGACAAAAAAAUAUGCAGGGAACUUAUGGCACCAACAGCAUAGGGAAAUAACUUAAAGAAUACUUCUUAAAUUCUCUGAGCUGCUUACUUUGCUCUGAGUCUCCUUCCAACUGAUUUAACAGCAUUAAUUGGGCUGUAACCCCUGGAUGCAGGCAUACCUGAGCUAGCUGUAAGAUCAAAAGAACUUGUACAUGGCCAAGCCCCUUGCAGUAGACUUGAUCCACUUCCAAAACAGAGCCAGGGACUGUAACACUGGCAUAGCAAGAAACAUUAGCUGAGGUGAGUGGCU
RNAcentral lists this long non-coding RNA (387 nucleotides) under Cyanistes caeruleus (blue tit). RNAcentral's name for it is "lncRNA (ENSCCEG00000005599.1)". Lineage: Eukaryota; Metazoa; Chordata; Aves; Passeriformes; Paridae. The record is from RNAcentral.